This 1059-nucleotide long non-coding RNA is filed under the name Anser brachyrhynchus (Pink-footed goose). Its description in RNAcentral is "lncRNA (ENSABRG00000014452.1)". The record is from RNAcentral. Lineage: Eukaryota; Metazoa; Chordata; Aves; Anseriformes; Anatidae.
AGUUGAUCUACUUAAAGAGGGGUUAUUUGGGUUCCUCCCAUCCACAAUAAUUAUGAUAUAUGUAAGCUUGUGGGCAGCAACCACAGAGAACACUGGGAUUUGGAAACUGGGGAGAGUGCAAGCCUAUCUGAAUGAGGAAUGGAUGUCUGUGAUUCAGAAUAGCUGGAAAAUGUAUUCUCUGAGAGUGUACCUGCAUCAGUAUAUAAAUUCAUAUCUAAAGACAACUAAUGGAUCUUCAGCAGUGUUUCUUCUUACUGCCUGAAACCUCAGGCAUUCAUUUAACAAGCACUGGACAAUGAGGAGAACUGCUUCAGUACUGGAGACAGGAAUUUGGAGUGCUCCCUUGUACAGUAUGCUUUGACCAUUGCACUUCUUCACCUCCUGUAUCUUGUUUUAUGUCCUUCAGAGAAGAAGUUUUUGAAGAGAAGUGGUUUGCUGCUCCUUAGAAAUGAGAGCAGUAGGCUUGAGUGCCCCUCCAGGCUCCCGUGAAGGCAAGAAAGCCUGAUUUCUUGUUUAAUCUCCUCUAACUUGACAUUAAGCCAGGGACACCAUUCAUUCAGCAACACCAUCCAUUUUAUAAGCUUUGUUUCAAGAAAUACAUGUUUCUGAGGGCCCUGAGCCUGGAGGUAAUUCCUAGGGGUAACCAGAGCACGUCCACAGCACUGACCCCUCUCCAGGCUUACUUGAUGCUCCAUGAAGGAGGGCAGGAUCAGCCCAUGCAAUUGUUUAGGCAAGGCAUUUUCUUGGCUGCAAAGCAUUGCUCUGUCUGAAUUGUCAGUCCAGAAUGGAACGAGAGGGAGCUUAGGCUAAGAGUCCUCCAGAUUCUGAGAUCACAUUUCCCUUUUGUAUUUUCUGUAAGACUUUGGGCACCAGGAGCAUUGUUUUCUCUACUUUCAGGUAUGUACCACCCUGCCAAGGACAUAUUAUCACCUGCCCAGGUGAGGAGAGAGUGAGCAAAGCUUUUUAGACUGUAGUUUUUGAUUUAGUGCUCCUAGCAUCCUCCUAAAUUCGGUUUUAUAUUCCCAUGUCCUUAUUUGACUCUAGCCCUAAAUCAAAAGA